This is a long non-coding RNA of Bombus terrestris (buff-tailed bumblebee), 261 nucleotides long. RefSeq lists it as uncharacterized. The record is from RefSeq and is a predicted model, not a curated record. The transcript is spliced from 3 exons. NCBI's taxonomy places the organism in Eukaryota, Metazoa, Arthropoda, Insecta, Hymenoptera, Apidae.
AAGGAAGGAAGGAAGGAAGGAAGGAAGGAAGGAAGGAAGGAAGAGUGGCCCGGAGGCAGCACAGGCGAGCGAUAGUAGGGGGAAAUGGGCAGACAAACAGAUAGGAUAGGCAGGCAGGCAGGCAGGCAGACACAAGCAAACAAGCGAGCAGGCAGAUCUGCGGACAAAUAGGCAGGCAGGCAGGCGUUACCUCGCUUGGACGUGCUGUCGGCGCUGCUAAUAAAUCCAGGUACGGCAAUCACGAGAACAAAGAGUCCACAG